AAACGGCGGCCGUAACUAUAACGGUCCUAAGGUAGCGAAAUUCCUUGUCGGUUAAAUACCGACCUGCAUGAAUGGCGUAACGAGAUGGGAGCUGUCUCAACCAGAGAUUCAGUGAAAUUGUAGUGGAGGUGAAAAUUCCUCCUACCCGCGGCAAGACGGAAAGACCCCGUGGACCUUU
Molecule: ribosomal RNA, 178 nt
Filed under: Helicobacter pylori
Lineage: Bacteria; Pseudomonadati; Campylobacterota; Epsilonproteobacteria; Campylobacterales; Helicobacteraceae
Description: partial 23S ribosomal RNA
Rfam family: Bacterial large subunit ribosomal RNA
Source: RNAcentral